UGUGUGUUUGUGUUGUUUCAGGACCGAGUUCCCUCCCUUCACAUCUGAAAGAGGGUUCAAACCUCAGCGAGGGAAAACGCGCCACACUGCAUUUCCAUCCGAGCUCAGGAGAGCCGGAGGGUCGGCCGUGCUGUCCGCGGACUCGGCCCGGAGCGGAGCGGAGCGGCGCGGCGGAGGAAUACUCCAGCCUCCCCCUAAAGCCCGAGCGCUGGUCAGAUUAAAGCGUGGCACAGUAAACAGAGCGCCUCUAGCUCGGCUCGGGACCAACCUGGGGAGUAAUGACCUCCCAGCGGAGCCACCCAAUCCUGUAACCAAUGGCAACAGUCCAGGCCCUGCCUUUGACCCGAGACCCCAACAAGAGCAUCGGCUCCCUUUUCCCGGCAUCCUCUCUGAAGUCUGCUGACUGCAUCAUGGGAAGUGUGGGCAGUUUGAUCGAGAAUCCGGACUCUCCCACCAAAAGCAGCAGGGCGGUUCCUCAGGUGCCAGAGCGACAGAGCAACGGGCUGCUGAAGAAGGGCUUCAACCAGAGAGAGCUGCUCAAUUACCUCAACAUCACCAAGAAAGAGUCGAAAGGAGGCAAGCACAUCAUCUCCGGGACCUCCUCCAUCAAGAGGGAGCAUUCCAGCGAGGAGGAGAACAUCUACGCCAAGGUCUACCACAAAGACGGCAGAGAGGUGGACAUGGGCAAAAACUCGCUCCCCAUUGGUGGAAAGUUUGACAAGCCUCGUCUCAGGCCAUCUGCUUUCAAGCCGGUCACUCCAAAGAACUUCAGCUCUGUGCAGAAUCUUUACCCGUCCAAGUCAGAGGAGCUGGCAAACGGCAGCAAAACUGCAUCCAAAUCGCUGUCCACAUCUUCCUCCUCCUCGUCUCCCUCGCGUGGGGCCACCAGCGCCAAUAAGGGCGUCCUGGCCACGCCUCGUGCCCUCAGCCAGGAGGCCGAAGAAACGGCCUCUGAUUCGGGACACAACUCCAUGAGCAGCCUGCCGCCGUACCGCCCGCCCUACCGGCCGCACCUGGCCCACAUCAGCGCCUCCAUGGGUCACAUCGACCACAUCGGCUCGCUGGACCGGGCCUCUCUGGGCUCGGGCGGUGGCAGCGGGCCAGCAGGACGCAGCAUGGCCACUCUCGGCCGCCUGCAGGGAUACAGCAGUGGCAGUGAGGCUCCACCGCCUUACGAGCUGUCUCGAUCGUUGGAGGAGGUGGUGAGGGAGCUGGAGGAGCGGCUGCAGGAGAAAGAGCACGAGCUGCGGCAGAUGCGGAGGAACCUGGACGAGAGCGAGGACGCCAUCGCACAGGUGUUUGAGGGGAAGCAGCGUCUGUGGGAGAAGGAGGUGGCGGAGCUGAAGCAGCUGUACGCCACUAAACUGCGGCAGGUUUCCCAGCAGUCUCAGCGCUCUCAGCGCACCCUGCAGCUGCAGCUGUAUAAGGCGCAGCAGGAGCGCAGCCGGCUGCAGGACGAGCUCCAGACCCUGCGCCUCGAGUGCCAGAGCCUGCAGGACCGCGGAGCCACGGCAGGCAGCCAUGAGCUCCACCCACAGCUGGAGGAGACCCAAUGGGAGGUGUGUCAGAAGACGGGGGAGAUUUCCCUGCUGAAGCAGCAGCUGAGGGACUCCCAGGCAGAGGUGACACAGAAGCUGAGUGAGAUUUUCCUGCUGAAGACUCAGCUGAGGGAGACUCGAGGCGAGGUGAGAGCCAGGGACAGCCAGAUCGACCUCCUGCAGCUGGCCCUGCAGACCGAACGGCGCAAAGGUGCCGCGUAUGAGGAUGGCCAGGCCCAGGAGAGCCGAGCGGCAUCCGGAGCUACAGAGGAGCGCCUGAGGGCGGAGCUGCUGCUGGAGCGACGACAGAGCGAAGCCCAGGCCUCGGCCUUCGAGGCAGAGCGCAACACCUGGCAGCUGGAGAAGGAGAAGGUGAUUCGCUACCAGAGGGAGCUGCAGGCCAGCUACCUGGAGAUGUACCGCAGGAACGAGAGCCUGGAGAAAGAACUGAGGCUGCUCAGAGGGGACGGGGCCGGAGCGGGUCGGGGUGGGGAUGGAGGCACGGCUUCAGAGGAGGAAGACAGACCGCCUUCCGGGCUUCCCUGGAUCGAAAGGAUCGAGUCCUCUGAGAUCUGAGUGUCUGUAUAGAGUCCAGAAGAAAAGUGCUGCAUUUAAUUGGCUUCCAGUGUCUUUCUACAUGUAUAAAAUACCACAUCAGCACAGUUUUGUCAGGCACUGCAGCCGGGAACUCACCAAAACUGUGCUGGCUCCCUUCAGGACCAGAAGUGGAGACCCCAGGUUUAUAGUAAUCCAACCAACAGGCUCCAAAUGAGCGAGCUGAUGCUGAAAGACGAAGGCGGCCCUCAAGCUGAGCCGUUUGCUCAGAGCGUCACACUUCUUGAGACAUUUCUAUUUAAAAUAAUGUACUGCGUUUUGUCUCGUCUCGUAAACCAAAAUGCGUAAGACACCUGAGAGAUUAUUCCGGAUGGAUGCAAAGGGAUGUUAUUUUCAUUAAAGGGAUGUCGUCCUGGUGUUUUUCUAAGACUCCGUUCCGUUGGCACAGACCUGUAAGGAGCCGGUUUGGUUAGUCAUGUUUCUAUUGAACUGUUUAGAUCUUGAUGAUGCAGAGUUGCAGUAAUACUCACUACAGUGGGAGGAGAAAAGGAAAUCUGCCCAGCAUCCAUGCACUGUAGGCUGUUUACUGUCAUUCGUAUCCUGUUCUAAGGAUUGUUUCAUGGCUGUUGGAGGUAAAUCUAAAACAGAUACUGUAUAACAUCACACCGAUUUAUUCAUUCAGUCACUCUCCGUAUGCAGAGGCAGUCAGGGUGAGACUUAAGAAGUGAGGAUGUCCUUCAGUCUGAGUUCCACGACAGGCAUGUUGCACUUUAAAGAAACUGGAAAUCAUCAGUUUUUCACAUCGGAGGAGGAGGAAAAGGAGGAUGCGCUUUUCUACUGAGCUGUCCCUUAAAGGGGUACUUCACCCAAAAUGACUGGAACACUUUAUUUGUGUAUUUAAAGGAAUAGUUUGGUGCAAACAAGUGAGUUUUCCACUCACCCCAGAUGUGGUUGAUCAGCCAAGACAGGUCCCACCUCUGUAGUUUAGAGCUGGAUCUCCAAGCUUAACAUUGCUAACAAACACUAGAAGUCAAUAGUCCCCCAGAUCUUUUCUGUGAAUGCAUUAAGGUCGUGCAGACUUGUGGAUGUGGUCAGUGUGAUGUACUGAGCUGUAAAGAUGACCAAAACCUCACUGUAUAGCUGUACACAGAAAAUAUUUGGGUGACUAUUGGCUUCUAGUGUUGGGGAGCAUCAUUAGCUUUGUAGCCCCAGUGUGGACAAGCGAAAAGUGAAAUGAGGACACCCAAAAUGACCCAUCUGGACGGAGUGGAAAACUGUUCAAAUGAAUGGUUAAGAAGAGACGCAUCGCUGCUGGCGGAAAUCUCCAUUCUUGUCGUUUUUCAGUUUUUGACGUAUUUUAAAAAAGCCUGUUUUCCUUCACGUUGUGUGUCAGUUUCAUGAUGAACGGACCAAAAUGGCUCAGAAUUAUUUGGAGAAAAUUCUGGUUCCAUUGAUUUUCAUUAAAAGUAAAGUGUGUUUGUUCUUCCUCCUGUAAAGUUGCCAUUUGGGAGAUACGAGGUUUUCUUCCGACAGCAGCGACGUACUAAUAAACAUUGUUUUAUGUCAUAAAUGUGCCUGAGUUGAUCUUAAUUUACUGCAUUUAUCUGUUCCCUUUAGGCACAAUGUCUUUUAAAAAUAGUAACGUUACUUCCACAAACACAGAAAUGCACACAGGAUCGACCAAACCUGGAUUUCACCUGAGAGACCCCUUUAAUGCAGUGGAUCUCAGUCUCAGUCCUGCACAUCAGUCAGAUCAGGGAAGCAGGGAUGGGUGCGAUGAUUCAGUCCUGAUGUGCAGUUUGGAAUAAAAAGGUAAAUAAACAGGGCGCAUGGAUUCUGACUGACAUGGUGUAGAACCGACGAGACACAAGCAGCUCAUCUAGACCUCUGACCUCUGUGUGACGUCAUGCCUAUAUUAGGAAGACUUGGCCUAAGACAGGGCUGUCCAGUCUUAUCCGCUAAGGGCUGGUGUGGCUGCAGGUCAACCAAGCAGAAUGGACACCCCUGGUCACCCUCGUCACACACUGCGGUAAACAAAAGUGUUCAUAUAUAGUCACACAUUUUUCCUCAAAGCAUCACUGGAUACUCUGAAUUACGGUGUUUAGCAGUCAAAUCCACACCUGCUCGUGCUACACUACACAGACGGUCCUUUAAAGGUUCUUUAGUAAAGAAAAUGGUUCUAUAUAGAACUAAGAACAGUCAAAGGACCCUUUGUAUCAUGAAAGGGUUCUUCAGAUUGAUGACGAAUGUGCUGUUCUGUACUGAACCGUUUCAGAAAGGGUUCUUCUGUUGUUAGGAUGUCGAGCUCGGCACAACAGAAGAACCCUUUUUGGUGUUAUUUAGAACCAUAUACUUCAGCAAGAACCAUUUCAUGAUGCAAAGAACCCUUUCAGCAUGCAAAUGGUUCUUUCAGUGUUGGUGGUUUUAUAUAGAAUCAUCAACUUUACUAAAGAACCUUUGGAGAGCCACUUUUUUUGUAGGAGUGUAUGACUACAAGCAAGUUAACGCUCUUCAUGAAAGUCCACAAUUACAGCUCCUCAAGCUGUAGCCUAAAACUGCCAGAGGCACUUCACUAGCCAGUGUGGCAGCGCUUGGUGGUUUGCUUGGGCUAUAUUGUCAGGGUCAUGUCGGUUCAGUGUAAAGCAGUGUUGCUUGCAUUUUAGCAACAUUAAUAUUUUGACUCUUUAAGGACCACAGAAAAUGUGAAAAACGGGUCUGGAACACGCCGUUUACAGCUGGGCCCAGCAGGGCAUGCUAUUCAUUUCUCCCAUUAGUAAAAACAGCCCAGACCCAGAGUUCCUUAUAUGAGCAAGGUCCCAAUUGUAGAACGUCAACACAGCGUCAGAGGUCUGAUGUGAACUGGGGACCCUCCAGGCCAAAGUGCUGUAGAGAUCAGAAUUUACCCCCGUCUAACGCUCUGAAUUCAGGUCGUGAAAGCCUUGCUAAUUAGCUGAUGAGCUGAAUCGUGACAGGGUGCUGAAGUCUGCAGUGUUUUGACCCGUGAGGACUGGAGCCUGAACCUAGCAGCUGAGACCGAGACUGAGAACUACCGCCACAGUAUAUAUCAUUUCACCAUGUGAAGUGGACGAUCAUGGUGUCGUCACGCUUAUAUACAGAACUGCUGAAAUACGCUCAUCAGGAAGAACAGAUCUAGUUCCCAUGUUUCUAGAUGUAGAUAAGCCAAUAGUGCUAUGAUAUGUUAACUACUGGAGUCGAUAAUGGACUUGCCUGACCGAUUAUCCUUUUUCUUACGUAAUAAAGGUAAAUAUUUGUCUUCUGACCGGUUCCAUUUGUUUCCUUACUGUUAAUCAUUAAGUAAUGUAAAAAUGGUGCUUGGAAAAUGACUGGAUUCUUUAUAGCUCACUUGAUGUACAGUCGAUUUACAUGACACUUCAUAUUUAAUCGGACACAGUACCGUGCAAAUUAAAUUUUUUUAUU
Pygocentrus nattereri (red-bellied piranha) is the source of this 5531-nucleotide RNA transcript. It is a transcript of the gene named NEDD4 binding protein 3, with no coding region annotated. The transcript has 6 exons. The record is from RefSeq and is a predicted model, not a curated record. Lineage: Eukaryota; Metazoa; Chordata; Actinopteri; Characiformes; Serrasalmidae.